AGCUCUGUGCAGUGGCAGUAUCAUAGCCAAUGAAGUUUAUCCGAGACACGAUUAUUGCUAAAAAGAGUAAUAGCUUAAGGGACUACGGGGGAGGGGGACUCGCUUUUUACUUUAUACUUUAUAUGCUUCUGUAUCGUUAAAUAUUUUGAACAAGCAUAUGCU
RNAcentral lists this small nuclear RNA (162 nucleotides) under Suricata suricatta (meerkat). RNAcentral's name for it is "U4 spliceosomal RNA (ENSSSUG00005009005.1)". It matches the Rfam family "U4 spliceosomal RNA". Rfam says of the family: U4 small nuclear RNA (U4 snRNA) is a component of the major U2-dependent spliceosome. The record is from RNAcentral. Lineage: Eukaryota; Metazoa; Chordata; Mammalia; Carnivora; Herpestidae.